Molecule: ribosomal RNA, 492 nt
Filed under: uncultured bacterium
Lineage: Bacteria
Description: partial 16S ribosomal RNA
Rfam family: Bacterial small subunit ribosomal RNA
Source: RNAcentral
AGUGAACGCUGGCGGUAGGCCUAACACAUGCAAGUCGAACGGCAGCACAGUAAGAGCUUGCUCUUACGGGUGACGAGUGGCGGACGGGUGAGGAAUACAUCGGAAUCUACUUUUUCGUGGGGGAUAACGUAGGGAAACUUACGCUAAUACCGCAUACGACCUACGGGUGAAAGCAGGGGAUCUUCGGACCUUGCGCGAUUGAAUGAGCCGAUGUCGGAUUAGCUAGUUGGCGGGGUAAAGGCCCACCAAGGCGACGAUCCGUAGCUGGUCUGAGAGGAUGAUCAGCCACACUGGAACUGAGACACGGUCCAGACUCCUACGGGAGGCAGCAGUGGGGAAUAUUGGACAAAGGGCGCAAGCCUGAUCCAGCCAUACCGCGUGGGUGAAGAAGGCCUUCGGGUUGUAAAGCCCUUUUGUUGGGAAAGAAAAGCAGCAGGUUAAUACCCCGCUGUUCUGACGGUACCCAAAGAAUAAGCACCGGCUAACUUCGUG